UACGGGGGGGGCAAGCGUUGUUCGGAAUUACUGGGCGUAAAGGGCUCGUAGGCGGCCAACUAAGUCAGACGUGAAAUCCCUCGGCUUAACCGGGGAACUGCGUCUGAUACUGGAUGGCUUGAAUCCGGGAGAGGGAUGUGGAAUUCCAGGUGUAGCGGUGAAAUGCGUAGAUAUCUGGAGGAACACCGGUGGCGAAGGCGGCAUCCUGGACCGGCAUUGGCGCUGAGGUGCGAAAGCGUGGGGAGCAAACAGG
RNAcentral lists this ribosomal RNA (253 nucleotides) under uncultured bacterium. RNAcentral's name for it is "partial 16S ribosomal RNA". It matches the Rfam family "Bacterial small subunit ribosomal RNA", at positions 524 to 776 of the family's 1533-position model. The record is from RNAcentral.